UGGGGAAUCUUGGACAAUGGGCGCAAGCCUGAUCCAGCCAUGCCGCGUGAGUGAAGAAGGCCUUCGGGUUGUAAAGCUCUUUUUACCAGGGACGAUAAUGACGGUACCUGGAGAAUAAGCCCCGGCAAACUUCGUGCCAGCAGCCGCGGUAAUACGAAGGGGGCUAGCGUUGUUCGGAAUUACUGGGCGUAAAGCGCACGUAGGCGGAUUGUUAAGUCAGAGGUGAAAUCCCGGAGCUCAACUUCGGAACUGCCUUUGAUACUGGCAAUCUCGAGUCCGGAAGAGGUUAGUGGAAUUCCCAGUGUAGAGGUGAAAUUCGUAGAUAUUGGGAAGAACACCAGUGGCGAAGGCGGCUAACUGGUCCGGUACUGACGCUGAGGUGCGAAAGCGUGGGGAGCAAACAGGAUUAGAUACCCUCGUAGUCCCUGAGCGGGCUGGCAAGGCGCAU
This 448-nucleotide ribosomal RNA is filed under the name uncultured bacterium. RNAcentral describes it as "bacterial SSU rRNA". It matches the Rfam family "Bacterial small subunit ribosomal RNA", at positions 355 to 825 of the family's 1533-position model. The record is from RNAcentral.